Molecule: ribosomal RNA, 449 nt
Filed under: uncultured bacterium
Lineage: Bacteria
Description: partial 16S ribosomal RNA
Rfam family: Bacterial small subunit ribosomal RNA
Source: RNAcentral
AACGAACGCUGGCGGCAGGCUUAACACAUGCAAGUCGAACGCAUCCUUCGGGGUGAGUGGCAGACGGGUGAGUAACGCGUGGGAACGUGCCCUUCAGUUCGGAAUAACCCAGGGAAACUUGGGCUAAUACCGGAUACGUGCGAGAGCAGAAAGAUUUAUCGCUGAAGGAUCGGCCCGCGUCUGAUUAGCUAGUUGGUGAGGUAAUGGCUCACCAAGGCGACGAUCAGUAGCUGGGCUGAGAGGAUGAUCAGCCACAUUGGGACUGAGACACGUCCCAAACUCCUACGGGAGGCAGCAGUGGGGAAUAUUGGACAAUGGGCGCAAGCCUGAUCCAGCCAUGCCGCGUGAGUGAUGAAGGCCUUAGGGUUGUAAAGCUCUUUCAGUGGGGACGAUAAUGACGGUACCCGCAGAAGAAGCCCCGGCUACCUUCGUGCCAGCAGCCGCCGUAA